Bolinopsis microptera is the source of this 4855-nucleotide RNA transcript. It is a transcript of the gene named MMS19 nucleotide excision repair protein homolog, with no coding region annotated. The record is from RefSeq and is a predicted model, not a curated record. The transcript has 23 exons. Lineage: Eukaryota; Metazoa; Ctenophora; Tentaculata; Lobata; Bolinopsidae.
AAUUAUUUGCAGCUUUAUGUAAAUAUGAAUCAUGUAAAGAGAGUUCAUGGAAUGUUCCACAGAUCUAUUACAACAACAGCACUGUGUUUGAAGAAACCACAAGUGGCAGCUUUGGCUAGGAAAGCACCCCGAACUUGUGAUCCUGAUUUCACUAGAUGCAGAGGGGCAUCUCCUUUAGAAGGGGAAGAAGAUCCAAUCCUAGGACCUGAUGAAGAUUAUCCAGAUUGGUUGUGGGAAAUUGCUGAUACCUACAACAUGCCCAUUGACGAGCAUCUUCAGAAGCCAGAUCAUAAUCUGUUUACCAAGAUAAAUGACUUUAGAAUGAACAUGAACAACAGGGUCAUGAAGCUGAGACACAAACACCCAGACUUAUACAGUCAGUUGAAGUUCCCAACGGAGGACGAAAUUAUUGACGAGAUAAGAGAAGUGGAAGCAAGACGGAGGCCAAAUCUGGCAGAAGGCCAGGCUUUUGCUUUGGAUUUGAGGGAAAAAGCUGCAACUGAGAUUGGAGGCAGUAAAGGUGGCUUGAAACCAGAGCGCAUGGAGGAGGAUGCAUUGAAUUAGAUCUGUGGAAAAGAAGAAAGUGUGAGCAAUAAUACUGUAAAUAAUGCAGUGAGUAACAAGAUUUGCCAGUGCAAUAGAAGAAUGGAACAACAGAAACUUGCGAUUAUUAAAGUUUAAAGAAAUAGAAACAUCCCAGAUUAUAAUAUCAUGUACCUAAAUAUAAGGAUUUAGGACUUUCUAUAUAUCCACUAACUAUACUUACGUACUUCAUAGAUCAUUAAUUUAUUAUUUAUGACAUGAUGGUAUAUUUAUUGCUCUAUAGUCGAUACUACAGUAUACAAACUAUACAUAUAUUGAAGUUUUAUUCAGUAUACUAACAAGCUGGUUUUACUAUGAAAAUCCUGAAUUAUCAUGUCUUGUACAUUAAUGUAAAUUGUACAAGCACUCAAGGUUCUUUAGUAGUGUCCAUUCAAAAGUUCACUGUACUUAAGUGUGAAUCAGAAACCCAAAUCUUUUAGCUUAAUUAACCCAAAGAAUCCGAGUAAAUCAGGGCUUAACUAUUGGAAUUACUGUUUUACAUAAGAUAUUGAACGUUGUGGGUUUGAAAGGUUACAUUAUAAUAACGUAUACAUAAUACAUAUUACAUAUCAUAUACUUUAUGUAUAAUGCUGUCUUAUCUCUAGAUAGAUGUAUAGAACAUGGUUGAAAUUUCGAUUCAAUCCAACUUAGAUAAAAUGACUGACGAAGAAGCAAAGAUAAGAUUUGAGCUGGCGUGCAAUGACUACAUCAGAGAACCGAAUAAGGAAGCAUUCGAAUUUGUGGCUGAGAAUGGUCACAGAUUCUCAAUACUGCAAUUUGUUCAGCUGCUUCAGCAGCAUAUUACCUCUAAAGUUGAUGAUGUCCGACUUAAUGCUAUUACUUUGCUAGUGGACGUGUCCGUCAAGUCUAAACUUAACGAUUCUGAAGUGGUAGUUCUAAUAAAGUAUCUGUGCGGGAGACUCUCAGAGAAGUACAGCAUAGUUCCCAAGAUACUGUCAGGACUGACAGGCUACGUGAAGGAGAGAGAAGUGGACUCUAGCACUGCUUGUUUGAUAGCUAAAGAGUUAGCUCAGUCGGUUGAUGUUCAGGCACUACAUCAGGACACAAGACACAAGGCAUACACCCUCGUAUACUCCCUAUUACACUGCAACUUACUCAGUUUACUGGAAGGAAUGAACAAUGAGUUUGUUGUGAGUUACAUUAAUCUGAUCGAUGGAGAGCAGGACCCGCGGAAUCUGAUGCUGAUAUUUAACAUGACAGUAAUUGUACUUCAACACUUCAACCUUGAUAAUAUUGAAGAAACACUAUUUGACGUUAUAUCCUGUUACUACCCUAUUGAUUUCACCCCACCGGAUGACGCUGAUGUAAAAGUCAGUCCAGAAGACCUGAGAGGCAGACUUAACAACUGCUUUAAAGCUAACAACAAACUGGCUAAACACGCUAUCCCCUUCUUACUGGAUAAGUUUACCAGCUCUGUUAUGCAGACCAGAAUUCAGAGUUGUGAAACGUUGAAGUUAUGUAUAACGUCGUAUGGUAUCGGAUGUACUGAAGAACACCUAAUUCUUAUUUGGAACGAUGUGAAACAGGAAAUAUUUGGAGGAGUUAAUAGAGACUUACGUGAAAGGUGUCUAGAAGUAAUAUCCUCGCUGUUUUGGGUGCUGACUAUUCCUAAUGUGAAGAACAAAUCUUUAGAUCCGUCUCAGUUCAUGGGUGUGGUGUUUGAUUACUGCAAAGAGAAACUUAGUUACAGUGAAAUUAAGUAUCUCCGACCUACAGCGUGUAUUCUUACUGCUAUCGUUAAGAGUUCAGGAGCAGGAAGCGGUUUGGUAGCAGAGCAUUGCCUGGAUUGGUUUACAGACCGAUUUCUAGAGCACACAGAAGCCAAUGUGAAGCAGAUAAUAUUAGAUGAAAUGGUAACUUUACUGGGAGAUAUGCAGUGUGAACCUGCUAGAGCCACAGCCGCUGUUAACCACUUUCAGUGGAAAAAAUUAGAAGGUAUGUUUCUGGGUGUUAUCUCUGAUAAGCAGUCUCGAGAGUUAUGCAGUUCUGGGCUAUUUGCUAUCAGUCAACUUCUCAACAUUUACCAUGCAACAGAUAAGCACAAAGAAGAGGACCCAUCUCUGAACAUAGAAUUAGUAGUUCUAGGAGUGUACGAGCUCUUAUCAAGUUCAAAUGAUGAGGACGGGUUACAAAUACUAACUGUUAUCAGCAGAGAGUAUCCUGACCUGGUUAACAAACUAUUGCUGGAUAAGCUACUGAGUCAGGUAGAUGAAGGAGACAGUUCAGCGAGGAGGAUGUUGUCGCGAUUGUUGGUGGGGAGGCUGCUAGUUCAACACUCUCCCAGACUAGUAAACCUGCUGAUUGAGCGGGGACACGUUGAGAUCAUAUCCCUCUUCACUGUUGCUUUAUCUUAUCAGGAGUCCAGUGAAGUGAUAACGUUUUGUCAGCAGUUUAUAUUCAACCAACUACUCAACUACCUCAUCCAACUCUCUAUACAAGAACAGGACAUUGAAAAGGCUGUUCUUCUAUUUCAGGAGUUCACAGUAGCCCUGUACAAAAACAGAUCACCUCGCCCUGUGGAUAUGACUGUGUUUACACAGACCUUCACAAGUAGUGCUGUAUUCCAGCCCUUCUCUAGCUCCUCUUCACACCACCAGACAAUGCUGACAGCUAUCUACUCUGCUGUUCUAAUGUACGGAUCACUUGACUCCACCUUUGAUCCGCUGAUGACUCCCCUAGAUCUGGAACAUGUACUGAAGUUAGCUUGUGUGUCUACUGAUCCUCUUACUGUACAGUCCUUAGCUGCUGUAAUUGGCCUCAUGAUCAACAGAAUGGACGAAGGACGACAUUUAGAGGAAUUGAAGACUCGUGUGUUUGCAGAACUGGACUCAUGUGAUCUGACUAAUAACAAAGUUUGGAUCUGUAUCAGAGUAUGUCAGGGGCUAGUUUACCGGUGGGAUUCUUCAGCUGAACGAGCUGUGAAACUAUUUGUGGAAUGUUUAACAAACAAACAAACGCACUCUCACACUGCCCACUUGACCUGGCAUGUGUUGGAACCUAUUUAUCAGGGUAACAGAAUGGUGUUACACAAACAGAGGUUCCUGCUUACUCUUAUCCCCCUGAUAACUCCUUACAUCAGUAAUCCGGUCCUACUUUCUGGAGAGAUAUCGAGCUCCCUGGUGCGAGGUAUUGGGACCCUGCUGCUGGCCCUCCCCCAGUCCCUGGUCAGUACCCACGGAGACACACUCUACCCCGUAAUCCUCAACAACCUCUCCUCCUCCACCUGCGAUACAGCUGCUCUCCAUCUCGUACAAUAUCUUCUCACCAACACUCCCGGUAUCAUUAUAAUGCACUUAGAUACCCUAGUUAAGCAGCUGUGCGCACUGAGCGCAUCGUGCGCUGUGUCAGUGCGCUGUCGUGUGGAGGCAGUGAAGACGCUGCAGAUGUGCACAACACAGCUGCAUCAUAAACACACACACGUACAGAGGGAGUAUGUAAUGAAACAGCUGAGGACAGUGCUGGGGGAUAAGAAGAGGGUUGUAAGAUUGGCGGGGGCUGAGACUCUUCAAAGCUGGGUCAUGUUACAACCUUGAUUACAAGCUGGUUACUAGGUUACUGGCUGGUUACUAGGUUACUGGCUGGUUACUAGGUUACUGGCUGGUUACUAGGAUACUUGCUGGUUACUAGGUUACUGGCUGGUUACUAGGUUACUGGCUGGUUACUAGGUUACUGGCUGGUUACUAGGUUACUUGCUGGUUACUAGGUUACUGGCUGGUUACUAGGAUACUGGCUGGUUACUAGGUUACUGGCUGGUUACUAGGAUACUUGCUGGUUACUAGGUUACUGGCUGGUUACUAGGAUACUUGCUGGUUACUAGGUUACUGGCUGGUUACUAGGUUACUGGCUGGUUACUAGGAUACUGGCUGGUUACUAGGUUACUGGCUGGUCACUAGGUUACUUGCUGCAUCUACCUUGAUAGUAUGGAGUUGCAACCUUUAUCUCUAAAGUGUUGACAUCUUAAAGUUGCAAGCUCGAUGUUAUCUAUCUUUUACUAGCAAGUGCGCUAGGUUUUUAGUUUUUACUUCUGGUGAAUUUUUAUCAGGGGUCAAUUUAUAAAUUUAUGAUGACGCUGUUUGCGAAAACAAAUGCCUUAAAAUAUUUUAGAUACCAAAAACUUGUUUAACAAACACUACAAACGUUGUCGGCUUCAUUUAAGCUUCUUAACAUUUUUAUUAUCCUUUAAGUUCUACUGAUUUUGUUUUAUUGGAGAUCUAUGUGAACCUAUUUGCUUAUUUGAUGAAACGAUUCUAUA